ACUCUUCAGCUACACACUCAAAAUCAUGUACUUCCAGGGCAUAAUAUAAGUAGGCAUUUUGGGACAGAGCACAGAGGACCCUGGAAAUUAAUGAUGUGGAACCACAAUGUUUUUGAGACGCUGAUGGGCCUCGUCUUCAUGUUGUGAAAUUUCUGUCAUUAGACAAAGCGCCUGGUGACUUGAAAGUUUGUGCUGCUGGUGUCGGGGUCUGUGCCCGGGGGUUACGUUCUGUCUGCAUAAUUGAUUAGACCACUAGAGGGUCGCUGAAGUGAUAAUGAUAGCAACAAAAACCUUUUAUUUGCAUUUUUAUGAUUCAUAUUUCAGCAGAAGUAUCUUCUGAACAUUGACAUGGAAAUGUACACUUUGAAUAAAUAUGCAUGAUGUCAGUGACAUUGAAAAAGUGAAGUUUUAGGCAUGAAAAUCAUUGUCAUUUAGAAACCAGCAUAACACAAUGUGUGUUUAAUGAGAUUGAUUAGAUAAAGGGAAACGGGUAGAUAGGGAACAAAAGACAAAGAGUUAAAAAAGAGUGAAGGAUAGAAAAAAAAAGAGACACAGUGAGCUCUAGAAUAUUCCAUCACACUAUAGAAAUGAGUCCAUAGGUGUGCAUCGUAUAAUUGCACUUUAAUAAGUUGUUACUCUGUGGGACUGUAUAGAGCAUUUGCAAGUUAAUAAGUGGCUCUACGGUCUUUUCACAGUCCAAUCUCUUUGCCUUUAUUCCAGACACAAGAAUGGGGGAUACAGGGAGAUUUCCUCAUAAUGCGCUUCACUUGUUUUAUUUGACAUGACAUCCGUUCGAAUCAGGUCUGUCACAAUUCAAUUCCCCCACUUAUAUUUAUCCAUUUGGCUCCAUAACUUCACACCCAGCACAGUAUCUGUGUGCUUAAUCAACAGCUCAGAUUUAUUACAUCAUCUGCCAGGCAGUCUUUCCACUCACCUGUUUCUGUUAAGGCUGUGGCUGAAGUUUGGAUAUUAUAAGUUUGUACCCUUGCCCAUUCUUAAAGGGAUAGUCCACACAGAAAAUUUAUUUACUCACCC
Long non-coding RNA from Cyprinus carpio carpio, 1035 nucleotides. The record is from Ensembl. Lineage: Eukaryota; Metazoa; Chordata; Actinopteri; Cypriniformes; Cyprinidae.